Phyllosticta citribraziliensis is the source of this 106-nucleotide non-coding RNA. The record is from the annotation of a GenBank genome assembly. NCBI's taxonomy places the organism in Eukaryota, Fungi, Ascomycota, Dothideomycetes, Botryosphaeriales, Phyllostictaceae.
GGUCUUAUGGUCUAGUGGUAUGAUUCUCGCUUAGGGUUUACUCUGAGUUAGCUGCUCUACGGAACAAGUAUGCGAGAGGCCCCGCGUUCGAGUCGCGGUAAGACCC